GCCCUCGUAUCGGCUCCGCCUUCUAAGCGGUUGCGCCGUAGAGGAUGACGCCAGUUCGAAUCUGGCCGAGGGCUCCA
Molecule: transfer RNA, 77 nt
Filed under: Martinezella leucaenae
Lineage: Bacteria; Pseudomonadati; Pseudomonadota; Alphaproteobacteria; Hyphomicrobiales; Rhizobiaceae
Description: Rhizobium leucaenae tRNA-OTHER
Source: RNAcentral